CGUCGCCACGGUAAUACGUAGGUGGCGAGCGUUGUCCGGAUUUAUUGGGCGUAAGGGGAGUGUAGGCGGUCUUUUAAGUCUGAUGUGAAAGCCCACGGCUCAACCGUGGAGGGUCAUUGGAAACUGGGAGACUUGAGUGCAGAAGAGGAGAGCGGAAUUCCAUGUGUAGCGGUGAAAUGCGUAGAGAUGUGGAGGAACACCAGUGGCGAAGGCGACUCUCUGGUCUGUAACUGACGCUGAGGAGCGAAAGCGUGGGGAGCGAACAGGAUUAGAUACCCCCGUAGUCCCUGUCUCUUAUACC
RNAcentral lists this ribosomal RNA (301 nucleotides) under uncultured bacterium. RNAcentral's name for it is "partial 16S ribosomal RNA". It matches the Rfam family "Bacterial small subunit ribosomal RNA", at positions 510 to 808 of the family's 1533-position model. The record is from RNAcentral.